Molecule: long non-coding RNA, 392 nt
Organism: Pieris brassicae (large cabbage white)
Lineage: Eukaryota; Metazoa; Arthropoda; Insecta; Lepidoptera; Pieridae
Exons: 2
Source: RefSeq, a predicted model, not a curated record
UUUAAAAUGAAAUUUAUAGCUGAAAAUUUUUUUUUCAUUGUUUGUAACUUUCUGUAUUAUCUAAUUCUGUAUUAUCCUGUACUUUUUUAAUAUCAAAAAAGUACCCAUCCAAGCCAGUAUCCUCGAACGAAGGCGUACAUAACCAAAAGCGUCGCGUAACAGGUAACGCACGGCCGCCGCCCUAACGACCACUUGUCGCUGGAUGAGACAAUGAACUGCUGCAGGUAUCGGGAGAAGAUCCAUCAAAGUCUAAUACUCCAGGUGAAGACAUACAGUUUGAUCUUGCACAACCGAGAAGAGUGCCUUUGUCAUCAGUGUCAUCUAUAAUAUAAAAAAUGAAUCGCAGAAUGUGUAGGUAAGCGCAUAACUAUACAAAGCCUGAACCAAUUGUA